UGGGGAAUUUUGGACAAUGGGCGAAAGCCUGAUCCAGCAAUGCCGCGUGUGUGAAGAAGGCCUUCGGGUUGUAAAGCACUUUUGUCCGGAAAGAAAUCCUUGGCUCUAAUACAGUCGGGGGAUGACGGUACCGGAAGAAUAAGCACCGGCCAACUACGUGCCAGCAGCCGCGGUAAUACGUAGGGUGCAAGCGUUAAUCGGAAUUACUGGGCGUAAAGCGUGCGCAGGCGGUUUGCUAAGACCGAUGUGAAAUCCCCGGGCUCAACCUGGGAACUGCAUUGGUGACUGGCAGGCUAGAGUAUGGCAGAGGGGGGUAGAAUUCCACGUGUAGCAGUGAAAUGCGUAGAGAUGUGGAGGAAUACCGAUGGCGAAGGCAGCCCCCUGGGCCAAUACUGACGCUCAUGCACGAAAGCGUGGGGACGCAAACAGGAUUAGAUACCCUGGUAGUCCACGCCCUAAACGAUGUCAACUAGUUGUUGGGGAUUCAUUUCCUUAGUAACGUAGCUAACGCGUGAAGUUGACCGCCUGGGGAGUACGGUCGCAAGA
This 546-nucleotide ribosomal RNA is filed under the name uncultured bacterium. RNAcentral's name for it is "partial 16S ribosomal RNA". It matches the Rfam family "Bacterial small subunit ribosomal RNA", at positions 355 to 893 of the family's 1533-position model. The record is from RNAcentral.